RNAcentral lists this ribosomal RNA (439 nucleotides) under uncultured bacterium. Its description in RNAcentral is "partial 16S ribosomal RNA". It matches the Rfam family "Bacterial small subunit ribosomal RNA", at positions 339 to 795 of the family's 1533-position model. The record is from RNAcentral.
CUACGGGCGGCUCCAGUGGGGGAUAUUGCACAAUGGGGGAAACCCUGAUGCAGCGAUGCCGCGUGGAGGAAGAAGGUUUUCGGAUUGUAAACUCCUGUCCUCAGGGACGAUAAUGACGGUACCUGAGGAGGAAGCACCGGCUAACUACGUGCCAGCAGCCGCGGUAAUACGUAGGGUGCAAGCGUUGUCCGGAAUUACUGGGUGUAAAGGGAGCGUAGGCGGGAUGGCAAGUCAGAUGUGAAAACUAUGGGCUUAACCCAUAGAUUGCAUUUGAAACUGUUGUUCUUGAGUGAAGUAGAGGUUGGCGGAAUUCCUAGUGUAGCGGUGAAAUGCGUAGAUAUUAGGAGGAACAUCAGUGGCGAAGGCGGCCAACUGGGCUUUUACUGACGCUGAGGCUCGAAAGCGUGGGGAGCAAACAGGAUUAGAUACCCUUGUAGUC